CAAUAGCGUAUAUUAAAGUUGUUGCAGUUAAAAAGCUCGUAGUUGGAUUUCUGGUUGAAGCGACCGGUCGGGCGUUGAUUCGUCUGCACUGGAGUCGGUUUUGGCCAUCCUCUAGGAAAGUGCGUCUGGUAUUAAGUUAUCGGGCGUAUGAUCCUGGUCUUUUACUGUGAAAAAAUUAGAGUGUUUAAAGCAGGCCUUCGCCUUGAAUACAUUAGCAUGGAAUAAUAAGAUAGGACUUUGGUCUAUUUUGUUGGUUUGCAGACCGAAGUAAUGAUUAAUAGGGAUAGUUGGGGGUAUUUAUAUUCCGAUGUCAGAGGUGAAAUUCUUAGAUUUUCGGAAGAUAAACUUAUGCGAAAGCAUUUACCCAGGAUGUUUUCAUUAA
This 382-nucleotide ribosomal RNA is filed under the name uncultured eukaryote. RNAcentral describes it as "partial 18S ribosomal RNA". It matches the Rfam family "Eukaryotic small subunit ribosomal RNA", at positions 592 to 976 of the family's 1831-position model. The record is from RNAcentral.